Molecule: ribosomal RNA, 468 nt
Filed under: uncultured bacterium
Lineage: Bacteria
Description: partial 16S ribosomal RNA
Rfam family: Bacterial small subunit ribosomal RNA
Source: RNAcentral
GACGAACGCUGGCGGCGUGCUUAACACAUGCAAGUCGAACGGAAAGGCCCUGCUUUUGUGGGGUGCUCGAGUGGCGAACGGGUGAGUAACACGUGAGUAACCUGCCCUUGACUUUGGGAUAACUUCAGGAAACUGGGGCUAAUACCGGAUAGGAGCUCCUGCGGCAUGGAGGGGGUUGGAAAGUUUCGGCGGUUGGGGAUGGACUCGCGGCUUAUCAGCUUGUUGGUGGGGUAGUGGCUUACCAAGGCUUUGACGGGUAGCCGGCCUGAGAGGGUGACCGGCCACAUUGGGACUGAGGUACGGCCCAGACUCCUACGGGAGGCAGCAGUGGGGAAUAUUGCACAAUGGGCGGAAGCCUGAUGCAGCAACGCCGCGUGCGGGAUGACGGCCUUCGGGUUGUAAACCGCUUUCGCCUGUGACGAAGCGUGAGUGACGGUAAUGGGUAAAGAAGCACCGGCUAACUACGUG